Salmo salar (Atlantic salmon) is the source of this 2706-nucleotide long non-coding RNA. RefSeq annotates it as mediator of RNA polymerase II transcription subunit 18. Lineage: Eukaryota; Metazoa; Chordata; Actinopteri; Salmoniformes; Salmonidae. The record is from RefSeq and is a predicted model, not a curated record.
UUAUGUAAAGUAUUAUUUCUUAUUCCUGUUUCCUACUGAAUCAACUGUUCGAUUUGUGAUUUGUAACUUCUGCUUAAUUUCCUAUAGCUUUAAAUUACAAUCAUUAAGUGGCAGUUUCGGCAUAGGCCUGUAGCCUACACUUUUUAAAGCAAAUUACUUGUGGCUGUUUUAAAUACAAUGCUUAAGUAGGGACUAAUCUCUGCCUCAACACUGUUUAUUGUAAUCAUGAUCGCUACCUCUGCCAUAAUUAUUGUAUUUAUGGUUUGGGCCUCAUAUCCAACAUCAGAAUCUUCAAGUCCUCUUCACAUACCGCUUGGGAGAAAAUUGUUGAUACCCUGCAUAAGUAAUGAAAAUCAUCCAGAAUCUUUUAGCUGGUUUUACAGUACAACCAAUGUUGGUCAGCGCCGCACCCAGAUUUUUCAUGAGGAUAAAAGUGGCCUACAUCUCCUUUCCAAAGAUUUAUGGCAUAGAAAGAGUGUUUUAAGGAAUCGUUCACUUGUAAUCAGCCCUUUUACAGAGGAGGAUCAAGGAAUAUACUCAUGUGAAUUGUAUAAAAAUGACAAGAUCACAAAUGGAUUGUCCACUUCAGUUGUUCUUGAAAAAGAAUCUCACAUGCCAGUAAUAACCACUGUGUCAAGCAGUGGUUUUAUGCAUGAAGUAACUAAGAAUGUGAUUACCAGCACAUAUUACGCACUUGACUCCGCUCUGAACAACACCACCAACAAAAGCAUAGACAAUGGGCCCACUCCUCGAGAUAACCGAGAAACUCAAUGGCUGGCAUCAACAGUAGCUGGAGUCUCUGCAGCUGUGUGGCUUUUCCUUGUUGCACUGGCACUGUUUAUAUUAUGCCAUUUCAAAUGGAGAAUACUCGCAGCUUCUGCCAAUCAACUUCUCUGUGGUGGCCAGGGGACCAGCUUUGAGGAAGAAACUACACUUGUUUAUUCAUCCUUGGUCAGGAGAUUCCAACAGAGAGAUGACAUCAGAAAUGACAAUGAGUGUGUGUACAGUCAUAUCAGGGUCUAGGAACUAAGAAUGACACUACUUUGAUGAGAGGCGUAAUAAAUAGUUUAAAUCAAGUUUUUCCAUUGUGCUCAGGCACACAAAAUGACAAAAGGCAUACUGUUUUGUUUGUAUUAAAUUGGUAUUGCACUGUGUCAAGCACUUCUGUACUUUUAACCUUUAAACCACUAUAAAAAAAAAUAAAAGGAAGAGGCCUGCUUUAUAUCUCAAAAAGCAUAAAGCCUGUGUAUUUAUAUGUCUAUACAUUUUAUUUGUGACAUACUUGUAAAGAAGUUGCUGAAAUGUGACAUUUUGAACUCAUCGAGCCGCUGAGUUACUUUCAGAACUCUACAACGUUUCCGUUCUUGAAUGCCCCUUGUUGCAUACCGUUGCACAAUGAGCAUACGCGGAUCUGGGUGAGAAGUAUGAUAGCUAGCUAGCUAUUCCUCCCCCAUCACACGGGCUCAACUCUAGCCAAUCUGUCACUGUGAAAGUUGAAAACGUUUAUUUGUACCUGCCUAGCAACGUAGCUAGCUAGUUUCAAUGUAACUAUGAGCUAACGUUAGCUAGGUUGCAAGUUAGCUUGAUACUCGACAGUCCAAGCCGCCAAACAUAAGCGACCUGUCUGACACUGACGAGUGAUGGAGGCCCCACCAGUCUCAGUGCUGCCCAUCACGGGGGGCACAAUUAACAUGAUGGAGUACCUGCUGCAAGGCAGCGUCUUGGACCAGGCCCUCGAAAGCCUAUUGCACCGCCUCCGGGGCCUUUGUGACAACAUGGAACCCGAGACGUUUGCCGACCAUGAGCUGGUCUACCUGCUGAAGGGCCAGCAGGGCAACCCGUUCCUGUUGCGAGCCCGCCGCUCCCUCUCCCACCCCACAGUGCCCUGGCACCUGCGCUACCUGGGCCAGCCGGAGGUGGGUGACAAGUCCCGCCACGUGCUGGUUCGCAACUGUGUGGAUGUGGCCGCCUCGCACAGCCUGCCCGACUUCCUCAAUGAAAUGGGCUUCCGCAUGGACCACGAGUUCGUAGCCAAGGGCCACAUUUUCCGCAAAGGCGUGCUCAAAGUGGUGGUGAGUAAACUGUCUCGCAUCCUGGUCCCCGGGAAUACAGAGAACACUGAGCCGCUGUCACUCUCCUACCUGGUGGAGCUCAGUGUGUUGGCCCCCGCGGGCCAGGAUACCAUGUCAGAGGACAUGCGCAGCUUCGCUGAGCAGCUCAAGCCCCUGGUUCACCUGGAGAAGAUUGACCCCAAGAGACACAUGUAAAAAGGAGUGUUUUAUGAUGAGCCUCUGUUGGCUGUCAUGGACAAAGUGUAGUUUUUAUUUAAAAAAAUAUGUUUUUACAUGGGACUUAGUUUUGUAUGAUUCCUAUGAGAAAGCGCUUUCCCACAGUCCUUUGUCUCUGUGAAUGAACUCUAGAUCUCACAAUCUUGAUGCGUGUCUCGUACAUUUGGAGAAGGACCAUCUGUCAUUAGGAUGUUAGUGGUGUUUGACAAGGACUUCACAGGAGGUUUAUGACAUAGCCAACAUGGACGAUGUGACAAAUGAGGCUUUGAAUGAGUCAAUAAAUAACAAUGUUUCUAUUCACAGUGCCGAACUCUUAGAACAUACGUUUUGUGUGAUGCUGAUAGUGCUUUGUUCUGUCUUAGAGAUGUCUUAAGAAAUGCACAGAGCUAUAGUGUUUAUUAAAAAUUAUUUUUCUCAA